This 2437-nucleotide ribosomal RNA is filed under the name Escherichia coli. RNAcentral's name for it is "partial 23S ribosomal RNA". It matches the Rfam family "Bacterial large subunit ribosomal RNA", at positions 397 to 2819 of the family's 2925-position model. Lineage: Bacteria; Pseudomonadati; Pseudomonadota; Gammaproteobacteria; Enterobacterales; Enterobacteriaceae. The record is from RNAcentral.
CUGUGAGCUCGAUGAGUAGGGCGGGACACGUGGUAUCCUGUCUGAAUAUGGGGGGACCAUCCUCCAAGGCUAAAUACUCCUGACUGACCGAUAGUGAACCAGUACCGUGAGGGAAAGGCGAAAAGAACCCCGGCGAGGGGAGUGAAAAAGAACCUGAAACCGUGUACGUACAAGCAGUGGGAGCCUCUUUUAUGGGGUGACUGCGUACCUUUUGUAUAAUGGGUCAGCGACUUAUAUUCUGUAGCAAGGUUAACCGAAUAGGGGAGCCGAAGGGAAACCGAGUCUUAACUGGGCGUUAAGUUGCAGGGUAUAGACCCGAAACCCGGUGAUCUAGCCAUGGGCAGGUUGAAGGUUGGGUAACACUAACUGGAGGACCGAACCGACUAAUGUUGAAAAAUUAGCGGAUGACUUGUGGCUGGGGGUGAAAGGCCAAUCAAACCGGGAGAUAGCUGGUUCUCCCCGAAAGCUAUUUAGGUAGCGCCUCGUGAAUUCAUCUCCGGGGGUAGAGCACUGUUUCGGCAAGGGGGUCAUCCCGACUUACCAACCCGAUGCAAACUGCGAAUACCGGAGAAUGUUAUCACGGGAGACACACGGCGGGUGCUAACGUCCGUCGUGAAGAGGGAAACAACCCAGACCGCCAGCUAAGGUCCCAAAGUCAUGGUUAAGUGGGAAACGAUGUGGGAAGGCCCAGACAGCCAGGAUGUUGGCUUAGAAGCAGCCAUCAUUUAAAGAAAGCGUAAUAGCUCACUGGUCGAGUCGGCCUGCGCGGAAGAUGUAACGGGGCUAAACCAUGCACCGAAGCUGCGGCAGCGACGCUUAUGCGUUGUUGGGUAGGGGAGCGUUCUGUAAGCCUGCGAAGGUGUGCUGUGAGGCAUGCUGGAGGUAUCAGAAGUGCGAAUGCUGACAUAAGUAACGAUAAAGCGGGUGAAAAGCCCGCUCGCCGGAAGACCAAGGGUUCCUGUCCAACGUUAAUCGGGGCAGGGUGAGUCGACCCCUAAGGCGAGGCCGAAAGGCGUAGUCGAUGGGAAACAGGUUAAUAUUCCUGUACUUGGUGUUACUGCGAAGGGGGGACGGAGAAGGCUAUGUUGGCCGGGCGACGGUUGUCCCGGUUUAAGCGUGUAGGCUGGUUUUCCAGGCAAAUCCGGAAAAUCAAGGCUGAGGCGUGAUGACGAGGCACUACGGUGCUGAAGCAACAAAUGCCCUGCUUCCAGGAAAAGCCUCUAAGCAUCAGGUAACAUCAAAUCGUACCCCAAACCGACACAGGUGGUCAGGUAGAGAAUACCAAGGCGCUUGAGAGAACUCGGGUGAAGGAACUAGGCAAAAUGGUGCCGUAACUUCGGGAGAAGGCACGCUGAUAUGUAGGUGAAGUGAUUUACUCAUGGAGCUGAAAUCAGUCGAAGAUACCAGCUGGCUGCAACUGUUUAUUAAAAACACAGCACUGUGCAAACACGAAAGUGGACGUAUACGGUGUGACGCCUGCCCGGUGCCGGAAGGUUAAUUGAUGGGGUCAGCGCAAGCGAAGCUCUUGAUCGAAGCCCCGGUAAACGGCGGCCGUAACUAUAACGGUCCUAAGGUAGCGAAAUUCCUUGUCGGGUAAGUUCCGACCUGCACGAAUGGCGUAAUGAUGGCCAGGCUGUCUCCACCCGAGACUCAGUGAAAUUGAACUCGCUGUGAAGAUGCAGUGUACCCGCGGCAAGACGGAAAGACCCCGUGAACCUUUACUAUAGCUUGACACUGAACAUUGAGCCUUGAUGUGUAGGAUAGGUGGGAGGCUUUGAAGUGUGGACGCCAGUCUGCAUGGAGCCGACCUUGAAAUACCACCCUUUAAUGUUUGAUGUUCUAACGUUGACCCGUAAUCCGGGUUGCGGACAGUGUCUGGUGGGUAGUUUGACUGGGGCGGUCUCCUCCUAAAGAGUAACGGAGGAGCACGAAGGUUGGCUAAUCCUGGUCGGACAUCAGGAGGUUAGUGCAAUGGCAUAAGCCAGCUUGACUGCGAGCGUGACGGCGCGAGCAGGUGCGAAAGCAGGUCAUAGUGAUCCGGUGGUUCUGAAUGGAAGGGCCAUCGCUCAACGGAUAAAAGGUACUCCGGGGAUAACAGGCUGAUACCGCCCAAGAGUUCAUAUCGACGGCGGUGUUUGGCACCUCGAUGUCGGCUCAUCACAUCCUGGGGCUGAAGUAGGUCCCAAGGGUAUGGCUGUUCGCCAUUUAAAGUGGUACGCGAGCUGGGUUUAGAACGUCGUGAGACAGUUCGGUCCCUAUCUGCCGUGGGCGCUGGAGAACUGAGGGGGGCUGCUCCUAGUACGAGAGGACCGGAGUGGACGCAUCACUGGUGUUCGGGUUGUCAUGCCAAUGGCACUGCCCGGUAGCUAAAUGCGGAAGAGAUAAGUGCUGAAAGCAUCUAAGCACGAAACUUGCCCCGAGAUGAGUUCUCCCUGAC